ACUGAGAAACAACGGGUGUGUAUCAUUAGGUCAGACAUGCAUCACUAUACUUGACAUUGCAUUUCAUUGCAUUGCACUUCUUUAUUAUUGGUGAGCUUGAUCUUGUGUGUUGCUAAUCUUGUGAGUGCCUUUCUAUGAAACUUGUGACUGAUGAAUAUUGGGCUUAUUGUUGAAGAUAUGCAAUUGUUAGAGUGCUGUUGUUGAGGAUAUGAAUUGAAACUAUUGAUGUUGUUGAGGAUAUGACAUUGUUAGAGUGUUGUGUUGAGCUAUGUGCUUUGUAAACUGUGAACUGUUAUGUUGGGCUGGUACUAAGCAGGUUGUAGUUGUGGAGGUGGUAAAUUGAUAAAUAUUGAGCUUGUUGUUGAGAAUAUAUGAUUUGUUAGAAUGUUGUUGUUGAGAUAUGUGCUUGUAAAUUGUGAAUUGUUAGGUUGGGCUGGUUUUAUACAGAUUGUAGUUGUGAAGGUUCGGUUGGGGUGUAAGGAGUACUUGUAUUCUAUCCCCUUAGCUCGUGUUUAGAGGUUUACUUGUUGAGUACCGUGUGGUUUGGUAGUCACUCCUUGCUUCUACAAAUUUUGUAGGUUACGAGCCUGGAUUUUUGUGGUACUUGUCAUUCUCUUCUUUUCCAAGGCUUCUGGGAGAUUUGUGAGGUAGUUGUUUGUCUUCUCAGCGAUCCUUCUUACUCCUGUUUAUGAUCUUGUUCUACUCUAGAAACAAUGUCAUAUGAGACUUGUAUUUUUCUUUUGAUUUAAUUGUAAUACUUUAGAGGCUUGUACACGUGACAACCAGAUUUUGGGGGUAUAUUUGAGUUUAUUAUAAAAAAAUUUCGCAUUUUAUUG
Molecule: long non-coding RNA, 836 nt
Filed under: Solanum tuberosum (potato)
Lineage: Eukaryota; Viridiplantae; Streptophyta; Magnoliopsida; Solanales; Solanaceae
Description: long non-coding RNA (STUB_LNC007086)
Source: RNAcentral